Molecule: unclassified non-coding RNA, 433 nt
Filed under: uncultured Russula
Lineage: Eukaryota; Fungi; Basidiomycota; Agaricomycetes; Russulales; Russulaceae
Description: sequence contains ITS2
Rfam family: 5.8S ribosomal RNA (bases 1-154)
Source: RNAcentral
AACUUUUAACAAUGGCUCACUUGGCUCUCGCAUCGAUGAAGAACGCAGCGAAAUGCGAUACGUAAUGUGAAUUGCAGAAUUCAGUGAAUCAUCGAAUCUUUGAACGCACCUUGCGCCCCUUGGAAUUCCGAGGGGCACACCCGUUUGAGUGUCGUGAACAUCCUUCAACCUUUCUUGGUUUCUUAACCGGGGAAGGCUUGGACUUUGGGGGUCUUUCAUUGCUGGCCUCUUUGAAGCCAGCUCCUCCUAAAUGGAUUAGUGUGGUCUGCUUUGCCGAUCCUUGACGUGAUAAGAUGUUUCUACGUCUUGGGUUUCGCACUGUCGCUUUAGACCCCGCUUCUAACCGUCUUGCAUUCAAGACAGAGUUUUAAACCUUGACCUCAAAUCGGGUGAGACUACCCGCUGAACUUAAGCAUAUCAAUAAGCGGAGGCU